This 253-nucleotide ribosomal RNA is filed under the name uncultured bacterium. RNAcentral's name for it is "partial 16S ribosomal RNA". It matches the Rfam family "Bacterial small subunit ribosomal RNA", at positions 524 to 776 of the family's 1533-position model. The record is from RNAcentral.
UACAGAGGUGGCAAGCGUUGUUCGGACUUACUGGGCGUAAAGGGCGCGUAGGCGGCCUUCUAAGUCGGACGUGAAAGCCCCAGGCUUAACCUGGGAACUGCGUCCGAUACUGGGAGGCUUGGAUUCGGGAGAGGGAUGUGGAAUUCCAGGUGUAGCGGUGAAAUGCGUAGAUAUCUGGAGGAACACCGGUGGCGAAGGCGGCCGACUGGGCCGACCCUGACGCUGAGGCGCGAAGGCGUGGGGAGCGAACGGG